UUAUAAAGUGCACCUUUCCACUUAAACUAUCUUUUAAGGUGCAAAAUGUGGUGUUGAACAAAAUAGAAAACCAGGGACUUCCAUUAUAUAUUGCCAAUAGAGACAGUGAACAUGUGGGCGUUCAUUAGGACAUUCAAUACCUUAAUAUUUUUAAGGAGUUAUAAAAGGUUCUCCUUAUUUGAUAGUUGGGAGGUUUGUUGACAUAAAGCAUAUGAAAACCGAAAUUCUGCGAAUCGUGUAAGAAACCGCAUAUCCUUGAAUUUAUAAUUGACAUUUAAGCUAAUGCUUUAUAUAUGUACUAAAAAAAUGAUAUGCUCUUUAGUAAAGGAAUCAUCUAAAUACAUAUUUUGCCAUUUAAAAUAUGUAUAUUAGAAACUAACAAUUACAUAUUCUUUCCGCUUUUAUUAUGCUGUUAUAAGAACUUCGUUUCAAUAUAUGUUCAUCACUAAUAAGAAAGUAUUAAAUUUUAAGUUCACAGCAAACACACGCAGGAACAUAGUUGUCGAAAUAAAAAGUAGCACCAAACUUUGAAGUUUCGUUCAUCGGUAUCUUAUUAAGCACUCCAUGCGUAAAUAUUUGAAGUCUAACUAAGAAUGUUAUCAAUGGAAAAAUAAAUGUAGUGGGUUUCAAAAGAUCUCAGUUGGCCUUCAUGAAACUUUGUGUGAUAGUAUUAACCAUA
Molecule: non-coding RNA, 679 nt
Organism: Schizosaccharomyces pombe (fission yeast)
Lineage: Eukaryota; Fungi; Ascomycota; Schizosaccharomycetes; Schizosaccharomycetales; Schizosaccharomycetaceae
Source: the annotation of a GenBank genome assembly